GCUAUCACUCCUACGGGAGGCAGCAGUAGGGAAUCUUCCACAAUGGGCGCAAGCCUGAUGGAGCAACACCGCGUGAGUGAAGAAGGGUUUCGGCUCGUAAAGCUCUGUUGUUAAAGAAGAACACGUAUGAGAGUAACUGUUCAUACGUUGACGGUAUUUAACCAGAAAGUCACGGCUAACUACGUGCCAGCAGCCGCGGUAAUACGUAGGUGGCAAGCGUUAUCCGGAUUUAUUGGGCGUAAAGAGAGUGCAGGCGGUUUUCUAAGUCUGAUGUGAAAGCCUUCGGCUUAACCGGAGAAGUGCAUCGGAAACUGGAUAACUUGAGUGCAGAAGAGGGUAGUGGAACUCCAUGUGUAGCGGUGGAAUGCGUAGAUAUAUGGAAGAACACCAGUGGCGAAGGCGGCUACCUGGUCUGCAACUGACGCUGAGACUCGAAAGCAUGGGUAGCGAACAGGAUUAGAUACCCUGGUAG
RNAcentral lists this ribosomal RNA (472 nucleotides) under uncultured bacterium. RNAcentral's name for it is "bacterial SSU rRNA". It matches the Rfam family "Bacterial small subunit ribosomal RNA", at positions 329 to 793 of the family's 1533-position model. The record is from RNAcentral.